AAAUUGAAGAGUUUGAUCAUGGCUCAGAUUGAACGCUGGCGGCAGGCCUAACACAUGCAAGUCGAACGGUAACAGGAAGCAGCUUGCUGCUUUGCUGACGAGUGGCGGACGGGUGAGUAAUGUCUGGGAAACUGCCUGAUGGAGGGGGAUAACUACUGGAAACGGUGGCUAAUACCGCAUAACGUCGCAAGACCAAAGAGGGGGACCUUCGGGCCUCUUGCCAUCAGAUGUGCCCAGAUGGGAUUAGCUAGUUGGUGAGGUAACGGCUCACCAAGGCGACGAUCCCUAGCUGGUCUGAGAGGAUGACCAGCCACACUGGAACUGAGACACGGUCCAGACUCCUACGGGAGGCAGCAGUGGGGAAUAUUGCACAAUGGGCGCAAGCCUGAUGCAGCCAUGCCGCGUGUAUGAAGAAGGCCUUCGGGUUGUAAAGUACUUUCAGCGGGGAGGAAGGUGUUGUGGUUAAUAACCACAGCAAUUGACGUUACCCGCAGAAGAAGCACCGGCUAACUCCGUGCCAGCAGCCGCGGUAAUACGGAGGGUGCAAGCGUUAAUCGGAAUUACUGGGCGUAAAGCGCACGCAGGCGGUCUGUCAAGUCGGAUGUGAAAUCCCCGGGCUCAACCUGGGAACUGCAUUCGAAACUGGCAGGCUUGAGUCUUGUAGAGGGGGGUAGAAUUCCAGGUGUAGCGGUGAAAUGCGUAGAGAUCUGGAGGAAUACCGGUGGCGAAGGCGGCCCCCUGGACAAAGACUGACGCUCAGGUGCGAAAGCGUGGGGAGCAAACAGGAUUAGAUACCCUGGUAGUCCACGCCGUAAACGAUGUCUACUUGGAGGUUGUGCCCUUGAGGCGUGGCUUCCGGAGCUAACGCGUUAAGUAGACCGCCUGGGGAGUACGGCCGCAAGGUUAAAACUCAAAUGAAUUGACGGGGGCCCGCACAAGCGGUGGAGCAUGUGGUUUAAUUCGAUCGACCGCGACGAACCUUACCUGGUCUUGACAUCCACAGAACUUUCCAGAGAUGGAUUGGUGCCUUCGGGAACUGUGAGACAGGUGCUGCAUGGCUGUCGUCAGCUCGUGUUGUGAAAUGUUGGGUUAAGUCCCGCAACGAGCGCAACCCUUAUCCUUUGUUGCCAGCGGUUAGGCCGGGAACUCAAAGGAGACUGCCAGUGAUAAACUGGAGGAAGGUGGGGAUGACGUCAAGUCAUCAUGGCCCUUACGACCAGGGCUACACACGUGCUACAAUGGCGCAUACAAAGAGAAGCGACCUCGCGAGAGCAAGCGGACCUCAUAAAGUGCGUCGUAGUCCGGAUUGGAGUCUGCAACUCGACUCCAUGAAGUCGGAAUCGCUAGUAAUCGUGGAUCAGAAUGCCACGGUGAAUACGUUCCCGGGCCUUGUACACACCGCCCGUCACACCAUGGGAGUGGGUUGCAAAAGAAGUAGGUAGCUUAACCUUCGGGAGGGCGCUUACCACUUUGUGAUUCAUGACUGGGGUGAAGUCGUAACAAGGUAACCGUAGGGGAACCUGCGGUUGGAUCACCUCCUUACCUUAAAGAAGC
RNAcentral lists this ribosomal RNA (1554 nucleotides) under Salmonella enterica subsp. enterica serovar Hadar. RNAcentral describes it as "bacterial SSU rRNA". It matches the Rfam family "Bacterial small subunit ribosomal RNA". The record is from RNAcentral. Lineage: Bacteria; Pseudomonadati; Pseudomonadota; Gammaproteobacteria; Enterobacterales; Enterobacteriaceae.